AUCCAACUGACGAGUCCUAAAUAGAAUGAAACACACGCCCUGCAU
This is a non-coding RNA of Schistosoma rodhaini, 45 nucleotides long. Lineage: Eukaryota; Metazoa; Platyhelminthes; Trematoda; Strigeidida; Schistosomatidae. The record is from Rfam.